GAUGAAGAACGCAGUGAAAUGCGAUAAGUAGUGUGAAUUGCAGAAUUCAGUGAAUCAUCGAAUCUUUGAACGCACAUUGCGCCCUUUGGUAUUCCUUAGGGCAUGCCUGUUCGAGCGUCAUCUAAACCUUCAAGCCCUGCUUGGUGUUGGGUGCCUGUCCCGCCUCCGCGCGUGGACUCACCUCAAAUCCAUUGGCGGCCCCCGCGUCGGCCACGAGCGCAGCAGAAACGCGAACUCGUGAGCCCGUCCGGGCGGCUCCCAGAAGCUAACCCCCAAUUUUUGACCUCGGAUCAGGUAGGGAUACCCGCUGAACUUAAGCAUAUCAAUAAGCGGAGGA
RNAcentral lists this unclassified non-coding RNA (337 nucleotides) under soil metagenome. Its description in RNAcentral is "partial contains 5.8S ribosomal RNA, internal transcribed spacer 2, and large subunit ribosomal RNA". The stretch from base 1 to 120 matches the Rfam family "5.8S ribosomal RNA", at positions 35 to 154 of the family's 154-position model. The record is from RNAcentral.